This 171-nucleotide non-coding RNA is filed under the name uncultured Dysosmobacter sp. RNAcentral's name for it is "Lysine riboswitch". It matches the Rfam family "Lysine riboswitch aptamer". From Rfam's summary of the family: Riboswitches are metabolite binding domains within certain messenger RNAs that serve as precision sensors for their corresponding targets. Allosteric rearrangement of mRNA structure is mediated by ligand binding, and this results in modulation of gene expression. This family includes riboswitches that sense lysine in a number of genes involved in lysine metabolism, including lysC. Lineage: Bacteria; Bacillati; Bacillota; Clostridia; Eubacteriales; Oscillospiraceae. The record is from RNAcentral.
UGAUAGAGGCGCGGACGCCAUCAGUACGCUCACCCGGCACCACAGGCAGGGGGCGGGCGGAAAGGGACGGCCGCCGAGGGAUCCGGACUGCUUGCCUGGCGGACGGAUACCCGGGCCACGGGAGAAGAUCCCCUGGACUGUCGCCGGGUCUUCCCGGCGGAGCGCUUUCAU